This 84-nucleotide transfer RNA is filed under the name Planctomycetes bacterium RBG_16_64_10. RNAcentral describes it as "tRNA-Leu". It matches the Rfam family "tRNA". From Rfam's summary of the family: Transfer RNA (tRNA) molecules are approximately 80 nucleotides in length. Lineage: Bacteria; Pseudomonadati; Planctomycetota. The record is from RNAcentral.
GCGAGGGUGGCGGAAUUGGCAGACGCGCUGGACUUAGGAUCCAGUCCCUUCCAUGGGGUGGGGGUUCGAGUCCCCCCUCUCGCA